GAUGAACGCUGGCGGCGUGCCUAAUACAUGCAAGUCGAACGAACAGACGCGGCGCUUGUUCCUUUCACGUUAGCGGCGCGCGUGUGUGAAACGCGUGGAAAACCUCCCUAUCUGACUGGGAUCACUUCGGGAAUCCGGCGCUAAUACCGGAUAAUAUAUUGCACCGCAUGGUUCAAUAGUGAAAGUCGGCUUUGCUGUCACUUAUCGAUGGAUACGCGCCGCAUUAUCUAGUUGGUAAGGUAACGGGUUACCAAGGCAACGCUGCGUAGCCGACCUGCUGGGGGGAUCGGCCACACGGGAACGGAGACACGCUCCAGGCUCCUACGGGAGGCACCAGUAGGGAAUCUGCCGCAAUGGGCGAAAGCUUGACGGAGCAACGCCGCGUGAGUGAUGAAGGUCUUCCGAUCGUAAAACUCUGUUAUUAGGGAAGAACAAAUGUGUAAGUAACUAUGCACGUCUUGACGGUACCGAAUCAGAAAGCCACGGCUAACUACGUG
RNAcentral lists this ribosomal RNA (497 nucleotides) under uncultured bacterium. RNAcentral describes it as "partial 16S ribosomal RNA". It matches the Rfam family "Bacterial small subunit ribosomal RNA", at positions 28 to 507 of the family's 1533-position model. The record is from RNAcentral.